Small nucleolar RNA from Pecten maximus, 106 nucleotides. RefSeq annotates it as small nucleolar RNA U13. The transcript has a single exon. NCBI's taxonomy places the organism in Eukaryota, Metazoa, Mollusca, Bivalvia, Pectinida, Pectinidae. The record is from RefSeq and is a predicted model, not a curated record.
ACCUUCUUUACUGAUGGUUCAUUAAAGAAUGAUGAAUGGGUUUUCAGGCGUCUGUCUGACACAUGUCGUCCUCCAUUGUUACGCAUGACAUGUUACCCAACUGACU